This 72-nucleotide transfer RNA is filed under the name Calditerrivibrio nitroreducens. RNAcentral's name for it is "tRNA-Val". It matches the Rfam family "tRNA". From Rfam's summary of the family: Transfer RNA (tRNA) molecules are approximately 80 nucleotides in length. Their secondary structure includes four short double-helical elements and three loops (D, anti-codon, and T loops). Lineage: Bacteria; Pseudomonadati; Deferribacterota; Deferribacteres; Deferribacterales; Calditerrivibrionaceae. RNAcentral also lists the same sequence under 3 other names. The record is from RNAcentral.
AGGAGCGUAGCUCAGUGGGAGAGCAUUGCGUUGACGUCGCAAGGGUCAGGGGUUCAAUCCCCCUCGCUCCUA